This 698-nucleotide ribosomal RNA is filed under the name Halomonas ventosae. RNAcentral describes it as "bacterial SSU rRNA". It matches the Rfam family "Bacterial small subunit ribosomal RNA", at positions 55 to 747 of the family's 1533-position model. The record is from RNAcentral. Lineage: Bacteria; Pseudomonadati; Pseudomonadota; Gammaproteobacteria; Oceanospirillales; Halomonadaceae.
AUGCAGUCGAGCGGAACGAUGGAGCUUGCUCCAGGCGUCGAGCGGCGGACGGGUGAGUAAUGCAUAGGAAUCUGCCCGGUAGUGGGGGAUAACCUGGGGAAACCCAGGCUAAUACCGCAUACGUCCUACGGGAGAAAGCAGGGGAUCUUCGGACCUUGCGCUAUCGGAUGAGCCUAUGUCGGAUUAGCUUGUUGGUGAGGUAAUGGCUCACCAAGGCGACGAUCCGUAGCUGGUCUGAGAGGAUGAUCAGCCACAUCGGGACUGAGACACGGCCCGAACUCCUACGGGAGGCAGCAGUGGGGAAUAUUGGACAAUGGGCGAAAGCCUGAUCCAGCCAUGCCGCGUGUGUGAAGAAGGCUUUCGGGUUGUAAAGCACUUUCAGUGAGGAAGAAAGCCUUGGGGCUAAUACCCCCAAGGGACGACAUCACUCACAGAAGAAGCACCGGCUAACUCCGUGCCAGCAGCCGCGGUAAUACGGAGGGUGCGAGCGUUAAUCGGAAUUACUGGGCGUAAAGCGCGCGUAGGCGGCGUGAUAAGCCGGUUGUGAAAGCCCUGGGCUCAACCUGGGAACGGCAUCCGGAACUGUCAGGCUAGAGUGCAGGAGAGGAAGGUAGAAUUCCCGGUGUAGCGGUGAAAUGCGUAGAGAUCGGGAGGAAUACCAGUGGCGAAAGGCGGCCUUCUGGACUGACACUGACGCU